UUAAGCGACUAAGCGUACACGGUGGAUGCCCUGGCAGUCAGAGGCGAUGAAGGGCGUGCUAAUCUGCGAUAAGCGCCGGUAAGGUGAUAUGAACCGUUAUAACCGGCGAUACCCGAAUGGGGAAACCCAGUGUGAUUCGUCACACUAUCAUUAACUGAAUCCAUAGGUUAAUGAGGCGAACCGGGGGAACUGAAACAUCUAAGUACCCCGAGGAAAAGAAAUCAACCGAGAUUCCCCCAGUAGCGGCGAGCGAACGGGGAGGAGCCCAGAGCCUGAAUCAGCAUGUGUGUUAGUGGAAGCGUCUGGAAAGGCGCGCGAUACAGGGUGACAGCCCCGUACACAAAAGCGCAUGUGCUGUGAGCUCGAUGAGUAGGGCGGGACACGUGGUAUCCUGUCUGAAUAUGGGGGGACCAUCCUCCAAGGCUAAAUACUCCUGACUGACCGAUAGUGAACCAGUACCGUGAGGGAAAGGCGAAAAGAACCCCGGCGAGGGGAGUGAAAAAGAACCUGAAACCGUGUACGUACAAGCAGUGGGAGCACAGGUUUACCUGUGUGACUGCGUACCUUUUGUAUAAUGGGUCAGCGACUUAUAUUCUGUAGCAAGGUUAACCGUAUAGGGGAGCCGGAGGGAAACCGAGUCUUAAUUGGGCGUUAAGUUGCAGGGUAUAGACCCGAAACCCGGUGAUCUAGCCAUGGGCAGGUUGAAGGUUGGGUAACACUAACUGGAGGACCGAACCGACUAAUGUUGAAAAAUUAGCGGAUGACCUGUGGCUGGGGGUGAAAGGCCAAUCAAACCGGGAGAUAGCUGGUUCUCCCCGAAAGCUAUUUAGGUAGCGCCUCGUGAAUUCAUCUCCGGGGGUAGAGCACUGUUUCGGCUAGGGGGCCAUCCCGGCUUACCAACCCGAUGCAAACUGCGAAUACCGGAGAAUGUUAUCACGGGAGACACACGGCGGGUGCUAACGUCCGUCGUGAAGAGGGAAACAACCCAGACCGCCAGCUAAGGUCCCAAAGUCAUGGUUAAGUGGGAAACGAUGUGGGAAGGCCCAGACAGCCAGGAUGUUGGCUUAGAAGCAGCCAUCAUUUAAAGAAAGCGUAAUAGCUCACUGGUCGAGUCGGCCUGCGCGGAAGAUGUAACGGGGCUAAACCAUGCACCGAAGCUGCGGCAGCGAACGUAUCACCCAAGACAACUUUACGGAGUUGACGAUUGACGGAGCGAAGCGACGUCAAAGCGUUCAUUAAAGUCGAGUUGGCUUAGGGAUACGUUCGUUGGGUAGGGGAGCGUUCUGUAAGCCUGUGAAGGUGUGUCGUGAGGCAUGCUGGAGGUAUCAGAAGUGCGAAUGCUGACAUAAGUAACGAUAAAGCGGGUGAAAAGCCCGCUCGCCGGAAGACCAAGGGUUCCUGUCCAACGUUAAUCGGGGCAGGGUGAGUCGACCCCUAAGGCGAGGCCGAAAGGCGUAGUCGAUGGGAAACGGGUUAAUAUUCCCGUACUUGGUGUUACUGCGAAGGGGGGACGGAGAAGGCUAUGUUGGCCGGGCGACGGUUGUCCCGGUUUAAGCGUGUAGGUGUGUGUUCCAGGUAAAUCCGGUUCACUUUAACACUGAGGCGUGACGACGAGGCACUACGGUGCUGAAGCAACAAAUGCCCUGCUUCCAGGAAAAGCCUCUAAGCAUCAGGUAACACGAAAUCGUACCCCAAACCGACACAGGUGGUCAGGUAGAGAAUACCAAGGCGCUUGAGAGAACUCGGGUGAAGGAACUAGGCAAAAUGGUGCCGUAACUUCGGGAGAAGGCACGCUGACACGUAGGUGAAGUGAUUUACUCAUGGAGCUGAAGUCAGUCGAAGAUACCAGCUGGCUGCAACUGUUUAUUAAAAACACAGCACUGUGCAAACACGAAAGUGGACGUAUACGGUGUGACGCCUGCCCGGUGCCGGAAGGUUAAUUGAUGGGGUCAGCGUAAGCGAAGCUCCUGAUCGAAGCCCCGGUAAACGGCGGCCGUAACUAUAACGGUCCUAAGGUAGCGAAAUUCCUUGUCGGGUAAGUUCCGACCUGCACGAAUGGCGUAAUGAUGGCCAGGCUGUCUCCACCCGAGACUCAGUGAAAUUGAACUCGCUGUGAAGAUGCAGUGUACCCGCGGCAAGACGGAAAGACCCCGUGAACCUUUACUAUAGCUUGACACUGAACAUUGAGCCUUGAUGUGUAGGAUAGGUGGGAGGCUUUGAAGUGUGGACGCCAGUCUGCAUGGAGCCGACCUUGAAAUACCACCCUUUAAUGUUUGAUGUUCUAACGUGGACCCGUAAUCCGGGUUGCGGACAGUGUCUGGUGGGUAGUUUGACUGGGGCGGUCUCCUCCUAAAGAGUAACGGAGGAGCACGAAGGUUGGCUAAUCCUGGUCGGACAUCAGGAGGUUAGUGCAAUGGCAUAAGCCAGCUUGACUGCGAGCGUGACGGCGCGAGCAGGUGCGAAAGCAGGUCAUAGUGAUCCGGUGGUUCUGAAUGGAAGGGCCAUCGCUCAACGGAUAAAAGGUACUCCGGGGAUAACAGGCUGAUACCGCCCAAGAGUUCAUAUCGACGGCGGUGUUUGGCACCUCGAUGUCGGCUCAUCACAUCCUGGGGCUGAAGUAGGUCCCAAGGGUAUGGCUGUUCGCCAUUUAAAGUGGUACGCGAGCUGGGUUUAGAACGUCGUGAGACAGUUCGGUCCCUAUCUGCCGUGGGCGCUGGAGAACUGAGGGGGGCUGCUCCUAGUACGAGAGGACCGGAGUGGACGCAUCACUGGUGUUCGGGUUGUCAUGCCAAUGGCACUGCCCGGUAGCUAAAUGCGGAAGAGAUAAGUGCUGAAAGCAUCUAAGCACGAAACUUGCCCCGAGAUGAGUUCUCCCUGAGACUUAGAGUCUCCUGAAGGAACGUUGAAGACGACGACGUUGAUAGGCCGGGUGUGUAAGCGCAGCGAUGCGUUGAGCUAACCGGUACUAAUGAACCGUGAGGCUUAACCU
This 2989-nucleotide ribosomal RNA is filed under the name Salmonella enterica subsp. enterica serovar Typhimurium. RNAcentral's name for it is "23S ribosomal RNA". It matches the Rfam family "Bacterial large subunit ribosomal RNA". Lineage: Bacteria; Pseudomonadati; Pseudomonadota; Gammaproteobacteria; Enterobacterales; Enterobacteriaceae. RNAcentral also lists the same sequence under 1 other name. The record is from RNAcentral.